Molecule: long non-coding RNA, 1312 nt
Organism: Solanum lycopersicum (tomato)
Lineage: Eukaryota; Viridiplantae; Streptophyta; Magnoliopsida; Solanales; Solanaceae
Source: RefSeq, a predicted model, not a curated record
AAUAAAUGGAGGGUCGGUAAAUAAGAUCACAACACGUAUUUGUCUGUUAGUAUAAAAGGUAUAUAUGCUCUAGUUUUUAUACGAUUUAUGAUAAUUCGAAAAUAUUUACUUUUCAUUUUUGUCAUAUGUAUAUAUAGUUGAGUACUUAUUGAAGUUGUGGAGAUAGUUGUGGAGAUGUAACUCAUGGUCUAUUGUGUUAUUAUUUGUAGCGGAAUACGCUAACUUGCCACUCAUUCCAUCUUAUUUCCAAGCAAGGAUUUACUCGGAGUCAAUUUUGCUUCAAGCUUAUCUGAUUCUCUCCUUGAAACCAACCGUGGUCAUGUAAUAGACCUUAAGCACAAUUGAAAUAUUUCAAGAAGGUGACAAAAUUGUUAAAGAAUAAAGUUGGAGAUAAGCAUUCCAAAAAAAAACUCAUCUCAAAUGCUGUUUACAUGUUUAGUACUGGAACAGUUAAUUAUGGUGAAGCUUUUCGAAAUAGCCCCGAUUUAAUUCAGUUUCCAUAUCCUAAACAACAAUUUGUAGAAAUGGUAUUAUCAAAUUUCACAUCCGUUUUGAAGGGUUUGAAGUAUCAAAGAAGGCACGUUGUGGUACAGGACCCUUUCGAGGAAUUAACAGUUGUGGAGGAAAGAGGCAAGUUAAAGAGUACUAACUUUGCAAAAAUCCCAAAGAUUAUGUAUUCUUCUAUGCUACGCAUCGGUCACAAUCCACCUAUGCUAAACUGUUAUGGCAUGGCGAUUCGGAUGUCACUAAACCUUAUGGCCUAAAAUCUUUUUUUUUUUUUAAUUUUCAGGCUAAAUCCACCAUAAAAUUGGUGUGCACUAUUAUCUUUUUUUGGAAUAAGACUAUCUCUCUAUAGCUUCCUCUUCCAACGUGUAUGCAUACAUUUCUAUUUUAACUCACAAACUAAAAUAACACUGCAUUUGCUUUUUAGAAUAUGGACAUCUCUUGAUGUAAUUGAUUGCUUCAAAUUUUUGGAUGUUCAAAAUUCAUUGCAUGAAAUUAAAUUUAAAAGUAACUUUAAUUCUUGAAUCUUAUGAGUAUAAUUCUAUUAUUAUCUUGAUUCUUCUCUCCUUAAUUUCUCUGCGCUUCAAGAGCCUUCAAUAGCGUAUUUUUUAUGUUGCAUGAUGGUUUGGUUCUCCUAGAGAUUUAUUUAGGUCAUUAGAGAUGUUGGGCAACACUUCUAGGUUAUCAAAAUGGUUAUAACUUUUUAUUGCUAGAAACAUGGAUUGUUGUAAAAUUGAUGGCGUAGGAACGAAGAUUCAAAUAUCUUUAAUUUGAUAGGUUAUGGGCCACACAACUCUUUAAAUUCUAA